RNAcentral lists this ribosomal RNA (1096 nucleotides) under Salmonella enterica subsp. enterica serovar Enteritidis. Its description in RNAcentral is "partial 23S ribosomal RNA". It matches the Rfam family "Bacterial large subunit ribosomal RNA", at positions 56 to 1191 of the family's 2925-position model. The record is from RNAcentral. Lineage: Bacteria; Pseudomonadati; Pseudomonadota; Gammaproteobacteria; Enterobacterales; Enterobacteriaceae.
GCGUGCUAAUCUGCGAUAAGCGCCGGUAAGGUGAUAUGAACCGUUAUAACCGGCGAUACCCGAAUGGGGAAACCCAGUGUGAUUCGUCACACUAUCAUUAACUGAAUCCAUAGGUUAAUGAGGCGAACCGGGGGAACUGAAACAUCUAAGUACCCCGAGGAAAAGAAAUCAACCGAGAUUCCCCCAGUAGCGGCGAGCGAACGGGGAGGAGCCCAGAGCCUGAAUCAGCAUGUGUGUUAGUGGAAGCGUCUGGAAAGGCGCGCGAUACAGGGUGACAGCCCCGUACACAAAAGCGCAUGUGCUGUGAGCUCGAUGAGUAGGGCGGGACACGUGGUAUCCUGUCUGAAUAUGGGGGGACCAUCCUCCAAGGCUAAAUACUCCUGACUGACCGAUAGUGAACCAGUACCGUGAGGGAAAGGCGAAAAGAACCCCGGCGAGGGGAGUGAAAAAGAACCUGAAACCGUGUACGUACAAGCAGUGGGAGCACAGGUUUACCUGUGUGACUGCGUACCUUUUGUAUAAUGGGUCAGCGACUUAUAUUCUGUAGCAAGGUUAACCGAAUAGGGGAGCCGGAGGGAAACCGAGUCUUAAUUGGGCGUUAAGUUGCAGGGUAUAGACCCGAAACCCGGUGAUCUAGCCAUGGGCAGGUUGAAGGUUGGGUAACACUAACUGGAGGACCGAACCGACUAAUGUUGAAAAAUUAGCGGAUGACCUGUGGCUGGGGGUGAAAGGCCAAUCAAACCGGGAGAUAGCUGGUUCUCCCCGAAAGCUAUUUAGGUAGCGCCUCGUGAAUUCAUCUCCGGGGGUAGAGCACUGUUUCGGCUAGGGGGCCAUCCCGGCUUACCAACCCGAUGCAAACUGCGAAUACCGGAGAAUGUUAUCACGGGAGACACACGGCGGGUGCUAACGUCCGUCGUGAAGAGGGAAACAACCCAGACCGCCAGCUAAGGUCCCAAAGUCAUGGUUAAGUGGGAAACGAUGUGGGAAGGCCCAGACAGCCAGGAUGUUGGCUUAGAAGCAGCCAUCAUUUAAAGAAAGCGUAAUAGCUCACUGGUCGAGUCGGCCUGCGCGGAAGAUGUAACGGGGCUAAACCAUG